This 429-nucleotide ribosomal RNA is filed under the name Chloroflexota bacterium. RNAcentral describes it as "Chloroflexi bacterium partial 16S ribosomal RNA". It matches the Rfam family "Bacterial small subunit ribosomal RNA", at positions 355 to 776 of the family's 1533-position model. Lineage: Bacteria; Bacillati; Chloroflexota. The record is from RNAcentral.
UGGGGAAUAUUGCACAAUGGGCGCAAGCCUGAUGCAGCCAUGCCGCGUGUAUGAAGAAGGCCUUCGGGUUGUAAAGUACUUUCAGUCGGGAGGAAGGUGUCAAGGUUAAUAACCUUGGCAAUUGACGUUACCGACAGAAGAAGCACCGGCUAACUCCGUGCCAGCAGCCGCGGUAAUACGGAGGGUGCAAGCGUUAAUCGGAAUUACUGGGCGUAAAGCGCACGCAGGCGGUUGAUUGAGUCAGAUGUGAAAUCCCCGGGCUUAACCCGGGAACUGCAUUCGAAACUGGCAGGCUAGAGUCUUGUAGAGGGGGGUAGAAUUCCAGGUGUAGCGGUGAAAUGCGUAGAGAUCUGGAGGAAUACCGGUGGCGAAGGCGGCCCCCUGGACAAAGACUGACGCUCAGGUGCGAAAGCGUGGGGAGCAAACAGG